ACACAUACGCGUGAAUCAUCGAAUCUUUGAACGCAUAUUGCACUUCUUGGCUUGCUGAGAAGUAUGUCUGUUUGAGUAUUAUUUUACUCUUCUUAUAAUACUAUAAUAAUGUUAAUACUAUUAUUGUAGUCUCAUAUAAGGAAUUGAACGUCACUCUACUAUUUUGAGCGUCGUUUGUAAUAUAAAAGGGGGUUUGUAACUUGGUUAUAUAGCAACAAGGAAUGUGACUAGUUGUUGUGUUGUAGUUGUUUAGCGUACCAGUCGCAUAUAUAUAUAAAAAAAGAGACAAACCUUGUAUCAUGCCAGGCGUGUAGUGGUACAUAACUAGUAACUCUAUUUUUUAUUGAUGGUACAGCAGAUUAAAAUGACAUUUACAUACAUAAACUAGUAACUGUUUUUUUCUUGGAACCGAGUUCCCAAUAUAUAGUCUUUAUGGACUUGAUUGGUGUUAAUGCUUUAAUUUUAAUCUCAAAAUCAGACAAGAGUACCCCGCUGAACUUAAGCAUAUCAAUAAGCGGAGG
This 521-nucleotide ribosomal RNA is filed under the name uncultured Basidiomycota. RNAcentral's name for it is "eukaryotic LSU rRNA". The stretch from base 1 to 81 matches the Rfam family "5.8S ribosomal RNA", at positions 74 to 154 of the family's 154-position model. Lineage: Eukaryota; Fungi; Basidiomycota. The record is from RNAcentral.